GCGAAAACCACAUGGCCAGUGCCAAUUUACCAAGUGGGAAAAUUGCCAACAACAUGGCGGCCGACAAAUUGUCCAUGGCAAGGUCAUAUCUGAGCAAAGCAUGAAAAGAUGGUGGUGGGUUGGAUGAUCAGGUGAUGGGGCGAGAGAGAGGGUGCUGUCCAGCCUCACCGCAGUUAAAUCGCCCGUGGCCACGCCCACACUGAUACCCGAUUGGUUAAGGCUGUCCCGCAAGGGACAACAACAACAUGGCUGGCAUGACACAGAGAGGAGGAGGCAACCCUCUGCCCCCUAAGCCUGGUCACAACGCCGCCCACCGGGAAAAGGUGAGUGGGCUUCUCACAGUGGACCGCCAGAUAUCUGGGGUGGAGGCCUCCAGCCCUGGGGCUUGGAUCUAGUGGCUAUUCAGGGCCCGGCAGUGUGUGUGUGUCUGUGUGUGUGUGUGUGUGUGUGUGUUUUGGGGAGUCUUGCCUCCCCUGCUCCUCCUCUAGGACACCCCAGGUUUGUGGGCCAGGCAGGGCUGAAUUCCUGGCAAAUGAGCAUGGACAGAAUGGCUCAAUGAGCUUGUUUUUCCCCAAGUCAACUUUUAAAGCAAGCUACCACCUUGCAUUGAAGAGGGUGUUGGAAUCCCCACUUCCCAAAAUUUCAAAAGUUUGAGUGGUGUCUCGAUUCUACCAGGGCCGUCUUUACCCGGAGGUGCAAGGGGUGCGGGGCAUCCGGGCGCCGAAUUCUGGGGGGCUCCAGGCACCCGCCACUGAAGCCGCCUAAGCUCUUAGCUGUCUACCUGUUAUGAAAUAAUAAAUAAUUUUGAUCAAGCUAGAAAAACAAAAUACAUAUAUACCUAGGCAUUACUGCAAUGUAUACCUACUGUUUCACUAAAGGACUUUCGACUUUGUGCACUCAUUUGCGUGCUCAGACCCAGAAACCUCCUGCCUAAAUAAAUUUACACUUGACUUAAAUUUUGGUUUUGGUUUUUGGCAAAAUUUAGGCCACAACUUUAUUGAUUACAGAAAAUGAUUGGUUGCAUAGGCUCUGGUUCGACUAGCUCCCUGCACCGUUGCAGGUAGCGCUGAGCCAGGGUUCCAGCAUAGGUCAGGCAAGGGUGAACACCUGGAUAGACGGACCUGGCUAUGUCCACCACCCAGAUGUCCCCCUGGACUCAGGCACAGGCACAACUCCCUCUCAGGGGUUGACCAAACCAUCGAGUCCCUGGAUUCUUUAACGGAAUACCCUUCACAUAGGGAUGGCGAGAGCGUUCUCCCAUCCCUAUCUCCUGAACCAGAGCCUUUCCGCAACCUUACAAAUUGUGACGCGGCAGGCGAAACCCAAAUGGCAACAGCCAAUCAGCCAAGUGGGGAAAAUUCCUGCCAUGCCCCUGUCCCAACGACAGACGACACACGACGGCAUAGCAAGGUCAAGCGCAAAGCCCUAAAAGUAGGGAGAGGUGGGCGGGGGUUCCGAAUGCACAUGCUGAAAGAGGAAGCUCUGGGUCACGUGCAUAGGUAUAUAUAGGUCCCUUGAUCCGUGUAGCUUGCAUCCCAUUGGCCUGAUUAAGCCCAGCAUCGAGGGACCUACCAAUAGGGUGUUGCGGUUAAACAAUCGUACCCACCCACAACACAGGGUUUGGUUGUCAGGUCUCACCGCAACACGUGCCCUCUUUAAGGGAGGACCCAAUUUACCAAAGAUGCACCGCACUUGUCAUUCACAACAGCGGCGCUUGUCAGAUUCAACGACGGCGCUUGUCAUUCACAAGAAGAGAUAAAGCGUAAGCGUGGUGACUGACACAAGCAUAAUAAAAGUUAAUUUGGGGGCUAAACUAAAUUUGGGGGCGCUGGGCGAAUCUUUGCACCCCGGUGGCGUAUAUGCUAAAGACAGGACUAGGUUCUACAAAAAAAGUGCACUGCUGGGGGUUGGACUAGAUGACCCUUAGGAUCCCUUCCAAUUCUACAUUUCUAUGAUUUUAUGAGAAAGAAGACAACAUACGAAUCUACAAAACUUUUACAAAAUGUGGUCUGCUUUUAUUUCAUUUGUAACAAAAGAAGAACAUGCUUUGAAACCAAACGGAGACGCACGGGAACGACGCUUUCUAUAUUACUAGUUCUUGAGUUAAUGUUUUAUUUUAUUAUUGCUAUUACAGCUGGACAUAUCUGGGGUUGUUACGGGUGGGGAGCUGUAACUGAUUGCAGGUUUGUUCCUAUAUUGAAAAUUAAUGAAAAUGAAAAAUCCCCCUCUGGCAUCAAAUCAGUUUGGUCUCAUAUUAAGGCCAACAAGUUCAGAACCUCACCUCUGGCCUUAACUCGCAUCUAUUCUGGGUGUCGGAGAAUGAUGCCAUUGCAACGAGGUCAUCCCGAACGAAAGCUAACUCGGUGUUCUCAAAAGCACAGGGUCACAUCAGUCAGUCUGGCCAAUCAGGAAGCCAGGCCAGGGGCUCUGCCUUCCGGCGAUGACUAAUGAGGCGGCUGGAACCUCCUAUGGAAUCCAGCCCAGAGAACGUCUCCCCUUCCCUAGGGUCAUUUACCUUCUCCAGUGGCUCCUCAACGUUCCUGAGGAUCAUUCCAGGCUUGAUCACGGCGUCCAAGAAAUCAGAGAAGGGAAACUCCAGAAUUUGCCCCAUCAGGGCUGGCUAGAAAGGUUUCCCAUAGAACCAGAAGCAUAACUCAGCCCAGUGGCUGCAAAAAAAAAAAAAGCAUUUAUUAGUUUUGUUUAUUUAUUCCCCUUCCCCAUUCUUAUUUCUGGAUUUGCUUCUAAUUGUGAAAUGCCUUAGGACAGGGGAAACUGCAUUGAUGGUUGCUGGACAGCUUUGAGAUUUGCCCUGGGAGAGAGACUGGAAUUUAGCAUCUUGUAAGACGGCAGGCUGCCUGAACAGCAUCACUCCGCGCUGCAACAUUUUGUCCCAGCUCUUGCUUGUCUUUCAAAUACCAUUCUAGUGGUCUUCACAUCUUCUUGUGGCAAUGCAGACAGUGACUUGCAAUCUCGAUCACACGCAGUCUGUAGUCCGCUGGCAGUAGGAGUACAAUAUGGGCAUGUCUUUAAGUUAACAUCUUACAUUAAAAACCCGACAGUACCAAACUAUCGAAGGCUUUUCACCAAAGCCAGACUCAACGUCUUUCCUUCUGCAGUGUUGGAUGGCAGGUUGAGAGGAGUUCCCUACCAGGACAGACUUUGCUCGUGUGCUCAAGACAUUGAUUCCAUAAAACAUAUUUUGUUGCACUGUGCAAAAUAUGAGCAAGCCAGGGCUGAACUGAUGCUACCCUUGCUGGUACCCUUCCCGGGAAAAUCAGAGGCUCACUAUGUCAGGUUCCUAUUGGAAGACCGGACAAACGCUAGAACAUUAGCAGUGGCAAAGUUUUUAUCGGUGGUUGCAAGAACCAAUGGUCCCUAUAUUCUGAACAAAAUGCUUGUUUAACCUGGAGGUAGGCUGUAUGAAUUGUGUAUUGCUUUGUAACGAUUUGUUGGGUCUCUGGACCGUAAUAAAGGUUGUUGAUGAUGAUGAUGAUGAUGAUGAUGAUGUGGCAAUGAGUUCUCCUAUUGUGCAUUGUGCAAAGGGCAGGAAUAAAAAUGUAACAGUCCUGCAAAUAAUUGUUUCCCCUUUCUGGAGAUUUAUUACCGGUAUAUAUUCAUUUUCUUUCUUUCUUUCUUUCUUUCUUUCUUUCUUUCUUUCUUUCUUUCUUUCCUUCUUUCGCUUCUCUCUGUCCUUUGAUCCCCUGGGAGCGCUGUUCAUCUGUUUCCUGUACAGAUACACUUCGGCAGUUUUUGGAUGGGGAAAAUCUAAACAAUACUCAUAAGUGAGAUCAAAAAGUUUUCUAGAACACCCAAGCAUAUUGUAAGCUGCCCUACACUGAAUCAGAUUGUUGGUCUUAGUAUUAGUAUUAGCUUAAUAUUAUUUAUCCUUAACUGGCAGCAGUUUCUCUCCUAACACUAGAACUUGCGGACAUCCAAUGAAUCUGAAGUCUGGAAGAUCCAGGACAGAUUAAAGGAAAGACUUCUUCACGCAGCGCAGAGUUAAACUAUGGAACUCCCUGCCACAGGAGGCAGUGAUGGCCACCAAGCCUUUAAAAGAAGAUUGGACAAAUUCAUGGAGGAGGAGAGGCUAUUGAUGGCUACUCGCUAGGAUGGCUGUGCUUCCACCUCCGUAUUCCCAGGGAGCCAGAUCUUGAAAACAUGAUGCCAACUGUUUGUCAUGUCCAGAACAUCAGCAAACUGGUUUUUGGAAGCACCGCUACCUGCAACUUUGAUGAGAAAAUAGUGUUGGAUCAGACCAAUGGCCUACCUAGUCCAGCAUCCUUUAUUCACAGUGGCCAACCAGAUAUCCAUGGGGAACUCACAAGCAAGGUUCAAGUAGGGGGGGCGGGAGCAAGUUUCAAGUAAUAAUAAUAAUAAUUAUCAUUAUUAUUAUUUGUACUUCGCCCUCCCCGGCCAGAGCUGGACUCAGGGAGGCUAACACCAAUAAAAUCACAGUAAAAACAUCAUAAGGGGGAAAGAGAGGGGGGGACCAAUUUAAAAUGCAAUUUAAAAUGCAGUCUCAUUUUAAAGCAGCUGAUAAAUCAAGACCAUAAGGAGAGGGAAACAUAAAGGUCAGGCUGAGUCCAAACCAAAGGCCAGGCGGAACAGCUCCGUCUUGCAGGCUCUGUGGAAAGAUGUCAAGUCCCGCAGGGCCCUGGUCUCUUGUGACAGAGCGUUCCACCACGUCGGGGCCAGUGCUGAAAAGGCCCUGGCCCUGGUUGAAACCAAUCUAACCUCCUUGAGGCUCAGGACCUCCAAAGUGUUGUUAUUUGUGGACCUUAAGGUCCUCCGCGGGGCAGACCAGUACAAGAACGACUCUGGCCUGCUGUGGUUUCCAGCAACUGGUUACACCGCAAUAAGUGUUUGUUGUUCUAGGAGUGUACACAGUAAAAGGAAAAGGAAAAAAAACAACUCUUUAUUUCUGUACAUAAAGCUACCUAUUGUUUUUAUCCCAUCCCUUUUCCAAGUUGCUCAGGGUGGCAAACAUGGUUUCCCUCCACAGCUCUCUCUGCACAAGCCUGCAAGGAUGGCUAGGCUGCAAAAUGGUGAUAGGUACAAGAGUUUUCCCAAAUACAACGACAGCAGUGUGACUACUACUGGCCCAGAGAUGGAAAGACGAUAAAGUUCCAACCAGAGAGGAAUGGAUGAUGGACUGCACCGAAAUGGUGAAAUUGACCUGGAAAAUCAGAAACCCAGAAGAGAAGAACUUUAAGAAGAAAUGGGGAAAGCUUACAACAUACUGUAUUUUUCCAUCUAUAAGACCCCACAGUGUAUUUUGGGGGACUCCAAAUUAAGAAAACACUCCUCAGCACUACCCAUGUAUAAGACGAGCCCCAAUUUUAAACCUAAUUUUUGGGUUAAAAAACCCUAGUCUUAUACACGGAAAAAUACGGUACUUAGGAGAACACUGCAAACAACUAAAAACUUUGGAAGGAUUUGAGUAAUGCUUGUACAGUGGUACCUCAAUUUAAGUACUUAAUUUGUUCCGGAGGUCCGUUAUUAACCUGAAACUGUUCUUAACCUGAAGCACCACUUUAGCUAAUGGGGCCUCCUGCUGCUGCCGCGCUGCCGGAGCCCGAUUUCUGUUCUCAUCCUGAAGCAAAGUUCUUAACCUGAAACACUAUUUCUGGGUUAGCAGAGUCUAUAACCUGAAGCAUAUGUAACCUGAAGCGUAUGUAACCACUGUGAUAUACAAAGAACUAUGGUAAAAAUGGAUUAUUUCCUUAAAAUUAGAGAAAGUAAGGAAGGCAGUUGAAAAAAAGAUUGAUAAUGGUAACCGUGGAAGGGUGGAGGGGAGUUGAUGGAAUCAGGGAAUCCUAAAUGAUGAUGUUGAUGUUUAAUGUUUGACUGCAAAUUUGUUAUGUAAAACUCUCUCUCUCUCUCUCUCUCUCUCUCUCUCUCUCUCUUUCUUGUGUUUUCCCAAAUAAAGUUCCUGGAGAACUGAACCUGGGUUUCCACAGACUUCGACCACAUCACAUCAUCACGAUGCCUAGAGCCACUAUCAACUUCCUAGCUGUUGUGCAAUUCUCCCGCCACUGUUAACAGGCCCU
Podarcis lilfordi (Lilford's wall lizard) is the source of this 6050-nucleotide non-coding RNA. The record is from the annotation of a GenBank genome assembly. NCBI's taxonomy places the organism in Eukaryota, Metazoa, Chordata, Lepidosauria, Squamata, Lacertidae.